Molecule: ribosomal RNA, 482 nt
Filed under: uncultured bacterium
Lineage: Bacteria
Description: partial 16S ribosomal RNA
Rfam family: Bacterial small subunit ribosomal RNA
Source: RNAcentral
GACGAACGCUGGCGGCGUGCCUAACACAUGCAAGUCGAACGAUGAAGCAGAGAAACGCGCACUUCGGUUCAAAUUUCACUUCGGAUUAGUGGCAGACGGGUGAGUAACGCGUGUGCAACCUACCUCUUACAAAGGGAUAGCCUCGGGAAACCGUGAUUAAUACCAUAUGACACCUUCAUAAGGCAUCUUAAGAAUGUUAAAGCUACGGCGGUAAGAGAUGGGCUCGCGUCCCAUUAGCUAGUUGGUGAGGUAACGGCCCACCAAGGCGACGAUGGGUAACCGGGCUGAGAGGGUGAACGGUCACAGUGGAACUGAGACACGGUCCAAACUCCUACGGGAGGGAGCAGUGGGGAAUAUUGCACAAUGGAGGGAACUCUGAUGCAGCGACGCCGCGUGAGCGAUGAAGGAAUUCGUUUCGUAAAGCUCUGUUCUAUGGGAAGAAAAGGACUGUACCAAAGGAGAAAGCCCCGGCUAAAUACGUG